UACGAAGGGGGCUAGCGUUGCUCGGAAUUACUGGGCGUAAAGGGCGCGUAGGCGGUCCUGUAAGUCAGGCGUGAAAUUCCUGGGCUUAACCUGGGGGCUGCGCUUGAGACUGUGGGACUUGAGGAUGGAAGAGGCUCGUGGAAUUCCCAGUGUAGAGGUGAAAUUCGUAGAUAUUGGGAAGAACACCGGUGGCGAAGGCGGCGAGCUGGUCCAUUACUGACGCUGAGGCGCGACAGCGUGGGGAG
Molecule: ribosomal RNA, 245 nt
Filed under: uncultured bacterium
Lineage: Bacteria
Description: partial 16S ribosomal RNA
Rfam family: Bacterial small subunit ribosomal RNA
Source: RNAcentral